This 459-nucleotide ribosomal RNA is filed under the name uncultured bacterium. Its description in RNAcentral is "partial 16S ribosomal RNA". It matches the Rfam family "Bacterial small subunit ribosomal RNA", at positions 338 to 795 of the family's 1533-position model. The record is from RNAcentral.
CCUACGGGUGGCAGCAGUGAGGAAUAUUGGUCAAUGGGCGCGAGCCUGAACCAGCCAAGUAGCGUGAAGGAUGACUGCCCUACGGGUUGUAAACUUCUUUUAUAAAGGAAUAAAGUGAGGCACGUGUGCCUUUUUGUAUGUACUUUAUGAAUAAGGAUCGGCUAACUCCGUGCCAGCAGCCGCGGUAAUACGGAGGAUCCGAGCUUUAUCCGGAUUUAUUGGGUUUAAAGGGUGCGUAGGCGGAUUGUUAAGUCAGCGGUAAAAUGGCCGGGCUCAACCCGGGCCGGCGGUGGAAACUGGGGAUCUUGAGUGGGCGAGAAGUAUGCGGAAUGCGUGGUGUAGCGGUGAAAUGCAUAGAUAGCACGCAGAACUCCGAUUGCGAAGGCAGCAUACCGGCGCUCAACUGACGCUCAUGCACGAAAGUGUGGGUAUCGAACAGGAUUAGAUACCCCGGUAGUC